CCUACGGGAGGCAGCAGUGAGGAAUAUUGGUCAAUGGACGAGAGUCUGAACCAGCCAAGUAGCGUGAAGGAUGACUGCCCUAUGGGUUGUAAGCUUCUUUUAUAUGGGAAUAAAACAGGGUAUGCAUACCCUCUUGUAUGUACCUUCUGCAUAAGGAUAGGCUAACUCCGUGCCAGCAGCCGCGGUAAUACGGAGGAUCCGAGCGUUAUCCGGAUUUAGUGGGUGUAAAGGGAGCGUAGGUGGACUGUUAAGUCAGUUGUGACAGUGUGCGGCUCAACCGUAAAAUUGCAGUUGAAACUGGCAGGCUAGAGUACAGUAGAGGUGGGCGGAAUUCGUGGUGUAGCGGUGAAAUGCUUAGAUAUCACGAAGAACUCCGAUGGCGAAGGCAGCUCACUGGACUGCAACUGACACUGAUGCUCGAAAGUGUGGGGAUCAAACAGGAGUAGAUACCCUUGUAGUC
Molecule: ribosomal RNA, 460 nt
Filed under: uncultured bacterium
Lineage: Bacteria
Description: partial 16S ribosomal RNA
Rfam family: Bacterial small subunit ribosomal RNA
Source: RNAcentral